CCUACGGGUGGCAGCAGUGAGGAAUAUUGGUCAAUGGGCGCGAGCCUGAACCAGCCAAGUAGCGUGAAGGAUGACUGCCCUACGGGUUGUAAACUUCUUUUAUAAAGGAAUAAGGUGAGGCACGUGUGCCUUUUUGUAUGUACUUUAUGAAUAAGGAUCGGUUAACUACGUGCCAGCAGCCGCGGUAAUACGGAUGACACGAGCGUUAUCCGGAUUUAUUGGGUUUAAAGGGAGCGUAGAUGGGUUUUUAAGUGAGUUGUGAAAGUUUGCGGCUCAACCGUAAAAUUGCAAUUGAUACUGGCAGCCUUGAGUACAUUUGAGGUAGGCGGAAUUCGUGGUGUAGCGGUGAAAUGCUGAGAUAUCACGAAGAACUCCGAUUGCGAAGGCAGCUUACUAAACUGCCACUGACAUUGAUGCUCGAAAGUGUGGGUAUCAAACAGGAUUAGAUACCCUGGUAGUC
This 460-nucleotide ribosomal RNA is filed under the name uncultured bacterium. RNAcentral's name for it is "partial 16S ribosomal RNA". It matches the Rfam family "Bacterial small subunit ribosomal RNA", at positions 338 to 795 of the family's 1533-position model. The record is from RNAcentral.